GUUCAACUGAUGUCGUGUUAAUUAGUUCAGCUAGUUAACCCGUGGUUUCUACAGAAGAGAAGUUGAAACCAUCCUCAAACGGAAAUAAUUGAGGUAUGCUGAACCAAAUGGUUCAGAUAGCCAGAUUUUUGGAUUUGGUUCUUUGAUAACAGGUUUGCAGUUUUGUUUGCUCACCCACACCUAAUCAAAACCAUUCUAUGUCAGUAACAGCCUUUGAAAUUCCAUUAUAAAAUGGCCAUUAUGUAACCAUUUUAUAAAACCAACCCUGAUUCCGUGAAAAAACCAAUGACCUUUAAAUGUUGACCUGUAUCAUUUUGCUUCCUUAUUUU
RNAcentral lists this unclassified non-coding RNA (329 nucleotides) under Hevea brasiliensis (rubber tree). Lineage: Eukaryota; Viridiplantae; Streptophyta; Magnoliopsida; Malpighiales; Euphorbiaceae. The record is from RNAcentral.